RNAcentral lists this ribosomal RNA (510 nucleotides) under uncultured bacterium. RNAcentral describes it as "bacterial SSU rRNA". It matches the Rfam family "Bacterial small subunit ribosomal RNA", at positions 30 to 526 of the family's 1533-position model. The record is from RNAcentral.
AUUGAACGCUGGCGGCAGGCCUAACACAUGCAAGUCGAACGGUAACAGGAAGCAGCUUGCUGCUUUGCUGACGAGUGGCGGACGGGUGAGUAACACGUGGGUAACCUGCCUAUCAGAGGGGGAUAACACUUGGAAACAGGUGCUAAUACCGCAUAACGUCGCAAGACCAAAGAGGGGGACCUUCGGGCCUCUUGCCAUCGGAUGUGCCCAGAUGGGAUUAGCUAGUAGGUGGGGUAAAGGCUCACCUAGGCGACGAUCCCUAGCUGGUCUGAGAGGAUGACCAGCCACACUGGAACUGAGACACGGUCCAGACUCCUACGGGAGGCAGCAGUGGGGAAUAUUGCACAAUGGGCGCAAGCCUGAUGCAGCCAUGCCGCGUGUAUGAAGAAGGCCUUCGGGUUGUAAAGUACUUUCAGCGGGGAGGAAGGGAGUAAAGUUAAUACCUUUGCUCAUUGACGUUACCCGCAGAAGAAGCACCGGCUAACUCCGUGCCAGCAGCCGCCGUAAGAC